This 586-nucleotide ribosomal RNA is filed under the name Streptomyces sp. 21G-1. RNAcentral describes it as "bacterial SSU rRNA". It matches the Rfam family "Bacterial small subunit ribosomal RNA", at positions 291 to 886 of the family's 1533-position model. The record is from RNAcentral. Lineage: Bacteria; Bacillati; Actinomycetota; Actinomycetes; Kitasatosporales; Streptomycetaceae.
CCUGAGAGGGCGACCGGCCACACUGGGACUGAGACACGGCCCAGACUCCUACGGGAGGCAGCAGUGGGGAAUAUUGCACAAUGGGCGAAAGCCUGAUGCAGCGACGCCGCGUGAGGGAUGACGGCCUUCGGGUUGUAAACCUCUUUCAGCAGGGAAGAAGCGAAAGUGACGGUACCUGCAGAAGAAGCGCCGGCUAACUACGUGCCAGCAGCCGCGGUAAUACGUAGGGCGCAAGCGUUGUCCGGAAUUAUUGGGCGUAAAGAGCUCGUAGGCGGCUUGUCACGUCGGGUGUGAAAGCCCGGGGCUUAACCCCGGGUCUGCAUCCGAUACGGGCAGGCUAGAGUGUGGUAGGGGAGAUCGGAAUUCCUGGUGUAGCGGUGAAAUGCGCAGAUAUCAGGAGGAACACCGGUGGCGAAGGCGGAUCUCUGGGCCAUUACUGACGCUGAGGAGCGAAAGCGUGGGGAGCGAACAGGAUUAGAUACCCUGGUAGUCCACGCCGUAAACGUUGGGAACUAGGUGUUGGCGACAUUCCACGUCGUCGGUGCCGCAGCUAACGCAUUAAGUUCCCCGCCUGGGGGAGUACGGA